RNAcentral lists this ribosomal RNA (559 nucleotides) under uncultured bacterium. RNAcentral's name for it is "bacterial SSU rRNA". It matches the Rfam family "Bacterial small subunit ribosomal RNA", at positions 777 to 1343 of the family's 1533-position model. The record is from RNAcentral.
AAUAGAUACCCGGGUAGUCCACGCCGUAAACGAUGGAUGCUAGCUAUUGGGGGGAAUCGACCCCCUCCGAAGCGAAGCUAACGCGUUAAGCAUCCCGCCUGAGUAGUACGAGCACAAGCUUAAAACUACAAAGGAAUUGACGGGGACCCGCACAAGCGGUGGAGCGUGUGGUUUAAUUCGAUGGUAAACGAAGAACCUUACCAAGGUUUGACAUCCCGGUAGCCGUUCUCCGAAAGGAGAAUUUCAUUUAGUUGGACCGGUGACAGGUGAUGCAUGGCCGUCGUCAGCUCGUGUCGUGAGAUGUUGGGUUAAGUCCCGCAACGAGCGCAACCCUUAUGAUUUAGUUGGAUUUUUCUAAACAGACUGCCCUGGUAACAGGGAGGAAGGAGGGGAUGAUGUCAGGUCAGUAUUUCCCUUACACCUUGGGGCGACACACGCGCUACAAUGGCCGGUACAAUGGGCAGCUAAGCCGCGAGGUGGAGCAAAUCCCAUCAAAGCCGGUCCCAGUUCGGAUUGCAGGCUGAAACCCGCCUGCAUGAAGCCGGAAUCGCUAGUAACC